Long non-coding RNA from Homarus americanus (American lobster), 991 nucleotides. RefSeq lists it as uncharacterized. Lineage: Eukaryota; Metazoa; Arthropoda; Malacostraca; Decapoda; Nephropidae. The transcript has 2 exons. The record is from RefSeq and is a predicted model, not a curated record.
AUGACUAAAAAUUUUAAUAUAAAACUUGGAAAAUUAUUGAAUAGUACAGCCUUCUUGAUAUUUGCUCAAAUGGUAACGAAUUUAAGCCCUAAAGCCGAUUACUGUAUUGGCGGACCAAUACUCCAGCUGGCGAGUAAGCGAAAACACGUUGACGUGAUUUCGUAAGAAUUUCGUUAACCGAAUUUUUUGUUCGUUAACCGAAUUGAAGAUUCUUAUGGAAGGUAAUUCGUUAACUGAGGGAUCACUGUAUAUUUAUGUAUGUAUGUAUGUAUGUAUGUAUGUAUGUAUGUAUGUACAAUAACUCGCUGUAAAAUUAACUAAACACGACCUCUUUAGUACACACACACACACACAUGCUCUCAGUUCUAACCAAAUAUUCUGUCAUUAUAAUUGACUUAAAGUUCAAGGUAUUGAUUUGUAAAGGAUUUAUUAUUACUUAUUAUAAGUAACUCAGAUUUAUUUAGUUUAUUAUGUUGAUUUUGACAGAGAUGUUCAUUUGACUGAUUGUUCAUGAAUCUUAUAAUUGUUUACGAAGAACGAUCAGUAGCUGUAGGGAUGGUGGCCAUCAACAGUGGUAGUUAGCUGUAUGGACGGUGGCCAUCAACAGUGGUAGUUAGCUGAAGGGACGGUGGCCAUCAACAGUGGAAGUUAGCUGUAGGCACGGCGGCCAUCAACAGUGGAAGUUAGCUGUAGGCACGGCGGCCAUCAACAGUGGAAGUUAGCUGUAGGGACGGUGGCCAUCAUCGGUGGUAGUUAGCUGUAGGGACGGUGGUCAGUGUUCCAUAUAUAGAGAUGGAACAAGGAACCUUUACCUACUGUGUAAUAAAGAAAUCAUUAUCCCAUAAAUUGGUAUAAUUUAAGUUUGGAAAUAAUUAAUUACCAUAAUUAUUGUAUUAAAAAAGAUUCUUGUUUAAAAUAUUAACUUUGUAUUGGAACUUGAUAAAAUUUUCAAUGGAUUUAAUUUCUUUAUUAAAAAUUUAAAGUAAAUUUA